Molecule: transfer RNA, 73 nt
Filed under: Thermoleophilaceae bacterium
Lineage: Bacteria; Bacillati; Actinomycetota; Thermoleophilia; Thermoleophilales; Thermoleophilaceae
Description: tRNA-Met
Rfam family: tRNA
About the family: Transfer RNA (tRNA) molecules are approximately 80 nucleotides in length. Their secondary structure includes four short double-helical elements and three loops (D, anti-codon, and T loops).
Source: RNAcentral
GGCUCCGUAGCUCAGCGGUUAGAGCGCGCCACUCAUAAUGGCGAGGCCGGUGGUUCGAAUCCACCCGGAGCUA